Molecule: ribosomal RNA, 253 nt
Filed under: uncultured bacterium
Lineage: Bacteria
Description: partial 16S ribosomal RNA
Rfam family: Bacterial small subunit ribosomal RNA
Source: RNAcentral
UACAGAGGCCCCAAGCGUUGUUCGGAUUCACUGGGCGUAAAGGGUGCGUAGGUGGUGAGGUAAGUCGGAUGUGAAAUCUCCGAGCUCAACUCGGAAAUGGCAUUGGAAACUACCUUGCUAGAGGGUUGGAGGGGGGACUGGAAUACUUGGUGUAGCAGUGAAAUGCGUAGAUAUCAAGUGGAACACCAGUGGCGAAGGCGAGUCCCUGGACAACUCCUGACACUGAGGCACGAAAGCUAGGGGAGCAAACAGG